GACGAACGCUGGCGGCGUGCUUAACACAUGCAAGUCGAACGGAAAGGCCCUGCUUUUGUGGGGUGCUCGAGUGGCGAAAGGGUGAGUAACACGUGAGUAACCUGCCCUUGACUUUGGGAUAACUUCAGGAAACUGGGGCUAAUACCGGAUAGGAGCUCCUGCUGCAUGGUGGGGGUUGGAAAGUUUCGGCGGUUGGGGAUGGACUCGCGGCUUAUCAUCUUGUUGGUGGGGUAGUGGCUUACCAAGGCUUUGACGGGUAGCCGGCCUGAGAGGGUGACCGGCCACAUUGGGACUGAGAUACGGCCCAGACUCCUACGGGAGGCAGCAGUGGGGAAUAUUGCACAAUGGGCGGAAGCCUGAUGCAGCAACGCCGCGUGCGGGAUGACGGCCUUCGGGUUGUAAACCGCUUUCGCCUGUGACGAAGCGUGAGUGACGGUAAUGGGUAAAGAAGCACCGGCUAACUACGUG
This 468-nucleotide ribosomal RNA is filed under the name uncultured bacterium. RNAcentral describes it as "partial 16S ribosomal RNA". It matches the Rfam family "Bacterial small subunit ribosomal RNA", at positions 28 to 507 of the family's 1533-position model. The record is from RNAcentral.